GAUUGAACGCUGGCGGCAGGCUUAACACAUGCAAGUCGAGCGGAGAUGAGGUGCUUGCACCUUAUCUUAGCGGCGGACGGGUGAGUAAUGCUUAGGAAUCUGCCUAUUAGUGGGGGACAACAUUCCGAAAGGAAUGCUAAUACCGCAUACGCCCUACGGGGGAAAGCAGGGGAUCUUCGGACCUUGCGCUAAUAGAUGAGCCUAAGUCGGAUUAGCUAGUUGGUGGGGUAAAGGCCUACCAAGGCGACGAUCUGUAGCGGGUCUGAGAGGAUGAUCCGCCACACUGGGACUGAGACACGGCCCAGACUCCUACGGGAGGCAGCAGUGGGGAACAUUGGACAAUGGGCGGAAGCCUGAUCCAGCCAUGCCGCGUGUGUGAAGAAGGCCUUUUGGUUGUAAGGCACUUUAAGCGAGGAGGAGGCUACCUGGAUUAAUACUCUAGGAUAGUGGACGUUACUCGCAGAAUAAGCACCGGCUAACUCUGUGCCAGCAGCCGCGGUAAUACAGAGGGUGCGAGCGUUAAUCGGAUUUACUGGGCGUAAAGCGUGCGUAGGCGGCUGAUUAAGUCGGAUGUGAAAUCCCUGAGCUUAACUUAGGAAUUGCAUUCGAUACUGGUCAGCUAGAGUAUGGGAGAGGAUGGUAGAAUUCCAGGUGUAGCGGUGAAAUGCGUAGAGAUCUGGAGGAAUACCGAUGGCGAAGGCAGCCAUCUGGCCUAAUACUGACGCUGAGGUACGAAAGCAUGGGGAGCAAACAGGAUUAGAUACCCUGGUAGUCCAUGCCGUAAACGAUGUCUACUAGCCGUUGGGGCCUUUGAGGCUUUAGUGGCGCAGCUAACG
This 836-nucleotide ribosomal RNA is filed under the name uncultured Pseudomonadota bacterium. RNAcentral's name for it is "bacterial SSU rRNA". It matches the Rfam family "Bacterial small subunit ribosomal RNA", at positions 27 to 857 of the family's 1533-position model. Lineage: Bacteria; Pseudomonadati; Pseudomonadota. The record is from RNAcentral.